AGUGUCAGAGGGGUAAACAAUG
This 22-nucleotide microRNA is filed under the name Xenopus laevis (African clawed frog). RNAcentral's name for it is "Xla-Mir-12486-P1_5p* (star (passenger))". RNAcentral also lists the same sequence under 1 other name. Lineage: Eukaryota; Metazoa; Chordata; Amphibia; Anura; Pipidae. The record is from RNAcentral.